GAAAUGCGAUAAGUAAUGUGAAUUGCAGAAUUCAGUGAAUCAUCGAAUCUUUGAACGCACCUUGCGCUCCUUGGUAUUCCUUGGAGCAUGCCUGUUUGAGUAUCAUGAAAUCUUCAAAGUAAAUCUUUUGUUAACUCAAUUGGUUUCUACUUUGGUAUUGGAGGUCUUUGCAGCUUCACACCUGCUCCUCUUUGUUCAUUAGCUGGAUCUCAGUGUUAUGCUUGGUUCCACUCGGCGUGAUAAGUUAUCUAUCGCUGAGGACACUGUAAAAGGUGGCCAAGGUAAAUGCAGAUGAACCGCUUCGAAUAGUCCAUUGACUUGGACAAUACUUUUAUGAUAUGAUAUCAAAUCAGGUAGGACUACCCGCUGAACUUAAGC
Molecule: unclassified non-coding RNA, 378 nt
Filed under: plant metagenome
Description: partial contains 5.8S ribosomal RNA, internal transcribed spacer 2, and large subunit ribosomal RNA
Rfam family: 5.8S ribosomal RNA (bases 1-105)
Source: RNAcentral